GACGAACGCUGGCGGCGUGCCUAAUACAUGCAAGUUGAGCGAUGAAGAUUGGUGCUUGCACCAAUUUGAAGAGCAGCGAACGGGUGAGUAACGCGUGGGGAAUCUGCCUUUGAGCGGGGGACAACAUUUGGAAACGAAUGCUAAUACCGCAUAAUAACUUUAAACAUAAGUUUUAAGUUUGAAAGAUGCAAUUGCAUCACUCAAAGAUGAUCCCGCGUUGUAUUAGCUAGUUGGUGAGGUAAAGGCUCACCAAGGCGAUGAUACAUAGCCGACCUGAGAGGGUGAUCGGCCACAUUAGGACUGAGACACGGCCCAAACUCCUACGGGAGGCAGCAGUAGGGAAUCUUCGGCAAUGGACGAAAGUCUGGCCGAGCAACGCCGCGUGAGUGAAGAAGGUUUUCGGAUCGUAAAACUCUGUUGGUAGAGAAGAACGUUGGUGAGAGUGGAAAGCUCAUCAAGUGACGGUAACUACCCAGAAAGGGACGGCUAACUACGUG
This 497-nucleotide ribosomal RNA is filed under the name uncultured bacterium. Its description in RNAcentral is "partial 16S ribosomal RNA". It matches the Rfam family "Bacterial small subunit ribosomal RNA", at positions 28 to 507 of the family's 1533-position model. The record is from RNAcentral.